Molecule: ribosomal RNA, 481 nt
Filed under: uncultured bacterium
Lineage: Bacteria
Description: bacterial SSU rRNA
Rfam family: Bacterial small subunit ribosomal RNA
Source: RNAcentral
GACGAACGCUGGCGGCGUGCUUAACACAUGCAAGUCGAGCGGUAAGGCCCUUCGGGGUACACGAGCGGCGAACGGGUGAGUAACACGUGGGUAACCUGCCCUGUACUUUGGGAUAAGCCCGGGAAACUGGGUCUAAUACCGGAUAGGACUACUUCCCGCAUGGGGGGUGGUGGAAAGUUCCGGCGGUACAGGAUGGGCCCGCGGCCUAUCAGCUUGUUGGUGGGGUAAUGGCCUACCAAGGCGACGACGGGUAGCCGGCCUGAGAGGGCGACCGGCCACACUGGGACUGAGACACGGCCCAGACUCCUACGGGAGGCAGCAGUGGGGAAUCUUGCACAAUGGGCGAAAGCCUGAUGCAGCGACGCCGCGUGAGGGAUGACGGCCUUCGGGUUGUAAACCUCUUUCGACCUCGACGAAGCGCAAGUGACGGUAGAGGUAGAAGAAGCACCGGCUAACUACGUGCCAGCCGCCGCCGUAAAAC